CUCAGCCUGAGGGGGUGAAAAGGCCACAGUUCUGGCAGCAGAGUCAGUCAGAGUAUUUCCACGCAUAACUUUAUUCUGGGAAGAUUGGUGAGCAACACAUUUAAUAAUAGCAACAGCAACAGGUAACUGAAGGGCAUCUAAUAAGGCGGCUACAUAAGAACCAUUACGAAUGGGUGUGCCAUUUGAGGUAAGAAACCCACAUUGUUUCCAUUAUCGCCCAUAGUCAUGGACCACACCAAAGGCAUAAUGCAAAUCUGUAUAUAUAUUAACAGUUUUACCUUUGGCAAGGGUACAGGCACGAGUGAGGGCAUCAAGUUCAGCAAUUUGGGCUGAAUAGACAGAAGAUAAAAAAAUACUUUCGAGUACCUCGUGCUGGGAACAUACAGUGUAACCUGCAACAAGAGAACCUUUAGAAUUUCUUAGGCAUGACCCAUCAACAUGCAGGACUAGGUCAGCAUUUGAAAUAGGAAUAUCUUUAGGAUCAUCCUGGGGUAAAGUCAAAUGAGCAGUAACAGUGAGGCAGUCAUGAGGCUCGCCAUCGGAAGGUGCACGCAACAAGGAAGUAGGAUUAAGUACAGGGCACCAAAGUAAAGUAAUGUGUGCUGCAGAAAGUAGUAGAAUUUCAUAUUUAGUUAAACAAGCAUUUGAAAGGUGCUGGGUUUUGGUUUUUAAAAGAAGUGCAGCCACUGAGUGGGGUACAGCAACAGUUAAAGGUGAAGCUAGGACAAUAUUUGCAGAUGAUUCCACAAGAAUGGCGGCAGCAGCAACUGCUCGAAGGCAUAGUGGAAACCCGGUUGCUACAGAAUCUAGGGCUGUACUAGAGUAGGUGAUAGGAUGGUGUUUAUCUCCAUGGGAUUGUGCAAGCAGUCCCAGAGCAAAGCCACCCUUUCAAUGGCAAACAGUGUAAAAGGCUUUGAGUAAUCAGGAAGUCCCAGUGCGGGUGCCUGCAAAAGGGCAAUUUUAAUAUCAGAAAAGGUGUUUUUGGCUUCUGGAGACCACUGCAAGGGUUCAGGGGUGUCCCCUAAGAAUUGGAGUAUUACAAGGACUAGAAGUGGGGAUCAAGAUACCUUGCUGAAAGAGGGAAGAAAUGACUGGUGCAAUUCCUUGCUUGGCCUCUUUGCUGAGAGGAUACUGGGAGAUGCGCGGGAGCUGCUUUUGCAGGUCAAAAUGAAUUUUAACAGGUUCAGCUGUGCGUAUCUGCCCAACUUCAUUUGCAUGUUGUGACCAUAGGGCAGGGGGUACUUGUUUAAGGAUUUCUUCUUUGAAAUCAGGGUUUGUGAAAGAAAUAGGUAGAGUUACUGGUUCAAUCAUAGCAGCAAGAUCUGUGCAUUCAUUUUCUGCUGGUACUUCAAGGAAAACUCCAUCCACUGCACAAUAAAUAGUACAACCAAGUUUACAAAGUAGAUCAUGACCUAAAAGAAUAACGGGGGCAAAAGGGCUUAAAAGGAAAAUAUGCUGGUUCGAAACAGGACCAAGGGUAAUGGACAAGGAUUGAGUUAUAGGAUGAGAAAUUACUUGAUUGGAAAUACCGACAGCACUAACAACAGUAUUGCAAAGAGGUGGAUCAGGGAGAUCAGAAAGAUGCAGAGCGGAACAGCUUGCCCCUGUGUCAACAGGGCAAGUUAUCUUUUUUCCUGCUAUGGCACAUUCUACAUAGGGUCCAGACUAAUCAACGGGUAAGAGUGGAGAAAGGAUGAAGUUACUAUCCCUCAGGCAGUCCUAAUAUUGAGAU
Gavialis gangeticus (Gharial) is the source of this 1732-nucleotide long non-coding RNA. RefSeq lists it as uncharacterized. NCBI's taxonomy places the organism in Eukaryota, Metazoa, Chordata, Crocodylia, Gavialidae. The record is from RefSeq and is a predicted model, not a curated record. The transcript has 2 exons.